GAAUGUGGUAUAGUGAGAAAAACUUGAUUUGUUAUCUUUAAGGCCACCUUAGAGUAGACAGAGAGGGGCCUGUGUACUUUGCCUCAUUACACAUAUUCAGAACUCACAUACUAAAUAGUUCAAAUUGAGAGAGUUGUAAUUAUCCUGAAUCUGGAUUGUUUAUGGAAGUGUAGGUUAUUGAUAGUAUGGUUUGUUAAACAUAUCUUUGUUUAGACAUAUUAGGUUGCAGAAAGACUAAAUAAUUGAUUUAGGCGGAAGGAUAUUAAGAGAGUGAUUAGGCAGUUUGGGAAGAACUUUCUUGUGUCUACAGAAAGUUUAGUGCAUUGUUCAACCAACUCAGUGAGGAGAGCUGAUUGGCAAUCAGAGUUUCGCAGUAGAGUAUUCAGAAUAUUUCAUGUUUCUGUCGAGGUAUGUUAAUUGAUUUUUGUUAUAGUGUAGAAUAAGGACUAUAGUCAUGUUAUUAUUGAUAUUGAGUAGAAAGAAUGAAGGAAAAUGAAGUAUUAAUAGUGAAGGGAUCGCAUCACUGGUUAGAGGUCAUGAGCACAUACAGUGUAUGGCCUAGUACAUGAUACACAAUGUACACACGUGUAGUUCGUUGUGCAUGAAUGACCAUGCGUCAUCUCGUUGUAGUGGCUUUGUAAACGAUGUAAGGCAGAGAAUCUUAUGUUUAUUAUAAUGUUGAUGAGUGUAAAUACACAUUUAAUGUACUUGUAUAGCUAAGUGUUAUUUAGUUAUGGUAUUGAAUACUGUAGCUUGAGUAUAGUGCACUGAGUGAAGUUUGGAGGGAUUUGAUUAGAUAGAAAUGUUUGGGUAAAAGUCAGUUAAGACUGUGUUGUGCUGUGUAAGCAAUAUUCUCAAAUAAGAGGGGGUACUCCAUUGUAAACAAAUAAGAUGGCAGCCUCCAUGGGAAGGGUUUAUGGUGCAGUUAGUUAAAAAUAGGAGUCUACUUAUUUCAGUAGAUUGGUGUUGGUGCUUGAUAUAAAUUAUAUCAUACUAUUAUUAGAGAGUAGAGUUUAUUAGGAGUUGGUGUAUUAUUCAUUUAAUUGAUAGGAGUUCCUUUCGUGGAUGGAGCUAGAGGUUCAACAGUUGUCGAGGUGUCGCUGAUUGACCACGUUUCUGAUUGAGAAAUAGUUCUGAUGCUUGUUGGAGAUUCCAGCGUUUGAGUUGAAGAAGCUGGUUCCAUUGUUGUCGUCGUAGCAACAAGUAGUUGUUUAGCAGUCCUAGUUGGGUGAGUCAGGAUGGUAGAGCGUGAUAGAUAGUUUUGAACACGAACACUGCUUGUUAUAUUACUUCUGUUUCAGGUGUUGAUAAUGAUGUGUUAUAACGAAUUGUAGAUAGGCAGUCAAUGUACAUUAAUUAGACAUUAAUUAGAAUGAAUAUCCAUGACUAUGCAUAUUUCAGGGGAUUAUUCUGAUGUUAAUCUUUAAUAGAGUUGAUGCUUUCAUAUUUUGGUGACCUGUAUUCAUACUUUCAGUGAAGAAAUUAGUUCGUCAUAUUUCACACCAAAUAGUUAGAGGGAAUAUUUUGGAAUGAUAAGAAAUACAUUUUCUUCUUUUACAUUGAAUUACUCACUCGAUGAAUAUUGAAGUAUCAUUGACUUGGUGUUAAAGUGAUGUACAUUAUUGUUGACUCUAAAUUGUUGCAUGAAGAGAUUUUGAACAUGUAGUUACUGAUGUUCUUUCUUUCGUUGUUUCUUUUCUGCCUUUGCAGAGGUUUUUCUUCUUGUAUCACACUUUAUGCAGAUAGCUCAAGUGGGAAAUAAAAUCCCGCUCAUAUCCUA
This is a long non-coding RNA of Strongylocentrotus purpuratus (purple sea urchin), 1780 nucleotides long. RefSeq lists it as uncharacterized. Lineage: Eukaryota; Metazoa; Echinodermata; Echinoidea; Camarodonta; Strongylocentrotidae. The record is from RefSeq and is a predicted model, not a curated record. The transcript is spliced from 2 exons.